GAUCAAGUGUCUUAAGGGCAUUUGGUGGAUGCCUUGGCAUGCACAGGCGAUGAAGGACGUGAUACGCUGCGAUAAGCUACGGGGAGGUGCGAAUAACCUUUGAUCCGUAGAUCUCCGAAUGGGGAAACCCACCUUUGAUAACUAGAAAUCUGAAUUGUUGUUUUGCGACGAUUUUGGUUUCUAGUUAUCGUAAAAGGUAUCUACAUCUGAAUAAAAUAGGGUGUAAGAAGCGAACGCGGGGAACUGAAACAUCUAAGUACCCGUAGGAAAGGAAAUCAAUAGAGACUCCGCAAGUAGUGGCGAGCGAACGCGGACCAGGCCAGUAGCUGUAGCAUAGAAAAAUAGAAUCGAAUGGAAAGUCGAACUAAAAAGGGUGAUAGUCCCGUAUAUGUAAAUCUAUUUACAGUUCUUGAGUAGGGCGGGACACGUGAAAUCCUGUCUGAACAUGGGUCGACCACGAUCCAAGCCUAAGUACUAGUGCAUGACCGAUAGCGUACCAGUACCGUGAGGGAAAGGUGAAAAGAACCCCGACGAGGGGAGUGAAAUAGAACCUGAAACCGAAUGCCUACAAACAGUCGGAGCCCAAGAUUAGUUCUGGGUGACGGCGUACCUUUUGUAUAAUGGGUCAGCGACUUAGUCUAACGAGCAAGCUUAAGCCGAUAGGUGUAGGCGUAGCGAAAGCAAGUCUUAAUAGGGCGAUUAGUUCGUUGGAUUAGACCCGAAACCGAGUGAUCUAGCCAUGAGCAGGCUGAAGGUAAGGUAACACUUACUGAAGGGCCGAACCCGUAUCUGUUGCAAUAGAUUGGGAUGACUUGUGGCUAGGGGUGAAAGGCCAAUCAAACUCGGAAAUAGCUGGUUCUCCGCGAAAUCUAUUUAGGUAGAGCGUCAGUCGAAUUCCCCAGGGGGUAGAGCACUGGAUGGGCUAGGGGUCCUCACCGGAUUACCAAACCCAACCAAACUACGAAUACCUGGAAGAACUAACUGGCAGACACACGGCGGGUGCUAACGUCCGUCGUGGAAAGGGAAACAACCCUAACCACCAUCUAAGGUCCCCAAGUUAUGGCUAAGUGGGAAAGGAUGUGAGGAUCCCAAAACAACCAGGAUGUUGGCUUAGAAGCAGCCAUCAUUUAAAGAAAGCGUAACAGCUCACUGGUCUAAAUAAGGGUCUUUGCGCCGAAAAUGUAACGGGGCUAAAGCCAUACACCGAAGCUGUGGAUGCGUCUUAUGACGCGUGGUAGCGGAGCGUUCCGUAAGCCUGUGAAGGAAUACUCGUGAGAGAUUCUGGAGGUAUCGGAAGUGAGAAUGCUGACAUGAGUAACGAUAAAGGGAGUGAGAGACUCCCUCGCCGAAAGUCCAAGGGUUCCUGCUUAAAGUUAAUCUGAGCAGGGUGAGCCGGCCCCUAAGGUGAGGCCGAAAGGCGUAGCCGAUGGGAACCACGUUAAUAUUCGUGGGCCUGCGUGAAGUGACGGAUUAUGUAAAUUGUAAACUCUUAUUGGAUUGAGUUUGCAGUGAAAUAGUUCCAGGAAAUAGCUCACGCAUAUAGACCGUACCCUAAACCGACACAGGUGGACAGGUAGAGUAUACCAAGGCGCUUGAGAGAACUACGUUGAAGGAACUCGGCAAAAUGCACGCGUAACUUCGGAAGAAGCGUGACCUUCUAUUGGGCAACCAUUAGAAGGUGGCACAGACCAGGGGGUAGCGACUGUUUACCAAAAACACAGGGCUCUGCGAAGUCGCAAGACGACGUAUAGGGUCUGACGCCUGCCCGGUGCUGGAAGGUUAAGAGGAGAUGUGCAAGCAUUGAAUUGAAGCCCCAGUAAACGGCGGCCGUAACAAUAACGGUCCUAAGGUAGCGAAAUUCCUUGUCGGGUAAGUUCCGACCUGCACGAAUGGCGUAACGAUUUCCCCGCUGUCUCCAACGUAGACUCAGUGAAAUUGAAUUCCCCGUGAAGAUGCGGGGUUCCUGCGGUUAGACGGAAAGACCCCGUGCACCUUUACUAUAGCUUUACACUGGCAUUCGUGUCGACAUGUGUAGGAUAGGUGGUAGGCUAUGAAGCAGUGGCGCCAGCCAUUGUGGAGCCAUCCUUGAAAUACCACCCUUAUCUACAUGGAUGUCUAACUGCGACCCGUUAUCCGGNUCCNGGACAGUGUAUGGUGGGUAGUUUGACUGGGGCGGUCGCCUCCNAAAGAGUAACGGAGGCGCGCGANGGUNGGCUCAGANCGGUCGGAAAUCGUUNGUNGAGUGCAAUGGCAUAAGCCUGCCUGACUGCAAGACUGACAAGUCGAGCAGAGNCGAAAGNCGGUCAUAGUGAUCCGGUGGUCCCGNGUGGAAGGGCCAUCGCUCAACGGAUAAAAGGUACNCCGGGGAUAACAGGCUGAUNNCCCCCAAGAGUNCAUAUCGACGGNGNUGUUUGGCACCUCGAUGUCGNCUCAUCGCAUCCUGGGGCUGNAGCNGGUCCCAAGGGUAUGGCUGUUCGCCAUUUAAAGCGGUACGUGAGNUGGGUUCAGAACGUCGUGAGACAGUUCGGUCCCUAUCUGCCGUGGGUGUAGGAAUAUUGACAGGAUCUGUCCCUAGUACGAGAGGACCGGGAUGGACGUAUCUCUGGUGGACCUGUUGUGGCGCCAGCCGCAUAGCAGGGUAGCUAUAUACGGAAGGGAUAACCGCUGAAGGCAUCUAAGUGGGAAACCCACCUGGAAACUAGUAUUCCCAUGAGAACCGUGGAAGACUACCACGUUGAUAGGUCAGAUGUGGAAGUGUGGUAACACAUGAAGCUUACUGAUACUAAUAGUUCGAUCGACUUGAUUAU
This 2807-nucleotide ribosomal RNA is filed under the name Alphaproteobacteria bacterium. RNAcentral describes it as "23S ribosomal RNA". It matches the Rfam family "Bacterial large subunit ribosomal RNA". The record is from RNAcentral. Lineage: Bacteria; Pseudomonadati; Pseudomonadota; Alphaproteobacteria.